Culex pipiens (northern house mosquito) is the source of this 74-nucleotide non-coding RNA. NCBI's taxonomy places the organism in Eukaryota, Metazoa, Arthropoda, Insecta, Diptera, Culicidae. The record is from Rfam.
GGCUCCGUGGCUUAAUGGUUACGGCUUCUGCCUCACAAGCAGAUGGUUCAGGGAUCAAAUCCCGGUCGGUUCCU